GGGGCCAGGGCCACUGCCAGGAGAUGGGGAAAAGGUGGCAUUGGCAAUUUUAGGCUGCCUUUACUAAUGUCUUCAAUGCCUCUUUCUGUGAUAUGAAGAUAAAACCAGGAUAUUACACCUUCAUACUUCACAAAAUCUUCUAAGACUAAAUGAAAUGGAGAUUGUAUUUCAUCUCUUCAUCUUAUUUCAACAUCCUCUACAAGCCUAUUUCCCAGCCUGUGGAAUAAGCAAGAUAAGAUGACAGUUCCCUCUGGAGUGUAUCAAAACAUGCCAUAGCAAUAAAAACCAUGAUAGCAGAUAUUAAAGUUUCUGACCCCAGUUGUGGAUUCUCAGCUUCUUAGCCACUGGAGAAUGGCCUUGAGCCUGGCCUCACUAUCUCUCUUUCUCUAGUCAGUGUACAUGGUGUUUCACAAACACUAUGAAACUAAGAAAUCUUUUUUUCAGAAUUGAGUUCUAGGGAUGAUUUAAAUCUUUUAACCCAAUGGCAAAUUCCUCCAACCUGCAGGGUUAAUCAACCAUUCAGUCAAUCAACUUUUGAAGACCUGAAGGAAAAUGUUACAGAGGUCUACCUAAGACACAUGGGGGGUCACAUUAAAGGGAUAAAAAUGUGUUGUUACUUAAAAGAUGUUACAACUGAAUUAUGGAAAUAAAUGAUACAUGUAAUUGGAAUAGAUAUGACCAAAUUAAAAAUAAACUGACUGUUGAC
This 706-nucleotide long non-coding RNA is filed under the name Homo sapiens (human). RNAcentral describes it as "HSALNT0373556". Lineage: Eukaryota; Metazoa; Chordata; Mammalia; Primates; Hominidae. The record is from RNAcentral.